RNAcentral lists this microRNA (22 nucleotides) under Macaca mulatta (Rhesus monkey). Its description in RNAcentral is "mml-miR-7200-5p". Lineage: Eukaryota; Metazoa; Chordata; Mammalia; Primates; Cercopithecidae. The record is from miRBase by way of RNAcentral.
UCCCCCAGUCUGGCCACAGAGC